GAAGUGCGAUAAGUAAUGUGACUUGCAGAAUACCGUGAAUCAUCGAAUCUUUGAACGCAUAUUGCACUCUCAGGCAUUCCGGAGAGUAUGCCUGUUUGAGGGUCAGCUAAAAAAAAAUCAAGCGUUAUUGCUUUUUUGUGGUGACGUUUGGAAUUGAGUCGUCUUAACCUCACGGUCAAGUGACUUAAAAUUUUUUAAUGUGAUUUUCGAAACGUAUUUAAUAUUUUACGUACGUUUGCGAUAUCAAUCUAUUAGAUGUGAUCAUUUCCAUGAUUCGCGUCUAUAGUUUUUCAUUAAAUGACCUCAAAUCAGGUAAGAGUACCCGCUGAACUUAAGC
This 337-nucleotide unclassified non-coding RNA is filed under the name plant metagenome. RNAcentral's name for it is "partial contains 5.8S ribosomal RNA, internal transcribed spacer 2, and large subunit ribosomal RNA". The stretch from base 1 to 105 matches the Rfam family "5.8S ribosomal RNA", at positions 50 to 154 of the family's 154-position model. The record is from RNAcentral.